This 405-nucleotide ribosomal RNA is filed under the name uncultured bacterium. RNAcentral describes it as "partial 16S ribosomal RNA". The stretch from base 192 to 405 matches the Rfam family "Bacterial small subunit ribosomal RNA", at positions 1 to 221 of the family's 1533-position model. The record is from RNAcentral.
UCACACAGGGAGAGUUUGAUCCUGGCUCAGAAUGAACGCUGGCGGCGUGCUUAACACAUGCAAGUCGUGCGCGAAGGAGGCUUCGGUCUCCGGAGAGCGGCGAACGGGUGAGUAAUGCAUCGGAACGUGUCCUCUUGUGGGGGAUAACCAGUCGAAAGACUGGCUAAUACCGCAUGAGAUCGAGAGAUUCACACAGGGAGAGUUUGAUCAUGGCUCAGAGUGAACGCUGGCGGCAUGCCUAACACAUGCAAGUCGAACGGUAACAGGCCCGCAAGGGUGCUGACGAGUGGCGGACGGGUGAGGAAUACAUCGGAAUUUGCCCUGUCGUGGGGGAUAACGUAGGGAAACUUACGCUAAUACCGCAUACGACCUAACGGUGAAAGGGGGGGAUCGCAAGACCUCGCC